CCUACGGGUGGCAGCAGUGAGGAAUAUUGGUCAAUGGGCGCAAGCCUGAACCAGCCAAGUCGCGUGAAGGAUGACUGCCCUACGGGUUGUAAACUUCUUUUAUAAAGGAAUAAAGUUAUGCACGUGUGGCUUUUUGUAUGUACUUUAUGAAUAAGGAUCGGCUAACUCCGUGCCAGCAGCCGCGGUAAUACGGAGGAUCCGAGCGUUAUCCGGAUUUAUUGGGUUUAAAGGGAGCGUAGAUGGGUUGUUAAGUCAGUUGUGAAAGUUUGCGGCUCAACCGUAAAAUUGCAAUUGAUACUGGAAGUCUUGAGUGCAGUUGAGGUAGGCGGAAUUCGUGGUGUAGCGGUGAAAUGCUUAGAUAUCACGAAGAACUCCGAUUGCGAAGGCAGCUUACUAAGCCGCCACUGACAUUGAUGCUCGAAAGUGUGGGUAUCAAACAGGAUUAGAUACCCGAGUAGUC
This 460-nucleotide ribosomal RNA is filed under the name uncultured bacterium. Its description in RNAcentral is "partial 16S ribosomal RNA". It matches the Rfam family "Bacterial small subunit ribosomal RNA", at positions 338 to 795 of the family's 1533-position model. The record is from RNAcentral.